Long non-coding RNA from Telopea speciosissima, 298 nucleotides. RefSeq lists it as uncharacterized. Lineage: Eukaryota; Viridiplantae; Streptophyta; Magnoliopsida; Proteales; Proteaceae. The record is from RefSeq and is a predicted model, not a curated record. The transcript is spliced from 2 exons.
UUCACUAUAGACAUUAACGGCCCAAUUGAACAUGAACUGUUUAAAUGUAGCUGUAUAUUCAAAAGGGGGUGAUUUAGUUUUACAACUCCAAGAUGACAGAAAAGCAACAUUAAGAAUCCAAACAGAACAUGAGUCUAAGAUACAGUACCUCAAAACAGAAAACCUUGAACCAAACCCAGUUGAAUAACAUUGUCAGUAGUUAUCAAAAGGAAAAAAAGAAAAGGAAAUAGGGAUCUAGUUUUCAGCCUAUCAACUAAUGUAACUAAUGCAGACACAGUGUCCGAACCUCUUACAAAAA